Molecule: unclassified non-coding RNA, 154 nt
Filed under: uncultured Sordariomycetes
Lineage: Eukaryota; Fungi; Ascomycota; Sordariomycetes
Description: sequence contains ITS2
Source: RNAcentral
CCACCCUCAGGCUCUGCCUGGUGUUGGGGGCCGGCCGCCCUGGGCGGCCGCCCCCGAAAGACAGCGGCGGGCUCGCCCCGGUCCCGAGCGUAGUAGCAACACGUCGCUCCGGGUGCCGGGCGGGCUCUCGCCGUAAAACCCCCCAUACUUUUAU